RNAcentral lists this ribosomal RNA (228 nucleotides) under Triticum aestivum (bread wheat). RNAcentral's name for it is "partial small subunit ribosomal RNA". Lineage: Eukaryota; Viridiplantae; Streptophyta; Magnoliopsida; Poales; Poaceae. The record is from RNAcentral.
AUGGACCAUUCCAUCCCUUUUUCCCGUGCAUAUGCAUCGGACUCGGAUGACGAUGGUCCCGAUGAACAAGUUGAUGCGGAGGGGUUCACGGUGAAGGAGGCCGAAGCUUUCGAGAAGGUAUUCGGUCGGGAUCAUUGGACUACAUUGUUCAAGGAUGUUAGUCUCGCGGAUGAAGCCGUGGUAGAUGGUGGCCAAUGUGUAUCUCUUGGGGUUAGGCCAAGCUCUCAC